Molecule: ribosomal RNA, 492 nt
Filed under: uncultured bacterium
Lineage: Bacteria
Description: partial 16S ribosomal RNA
Rfam family: Bacterial small subunit ribosomal RNA
Source: RNAcentral
AGUGAACGCUGGCGGUAGGCCUAACACAUGCAAGUCGAACGGCAGCACAGUAAGAGCUUGCUCUUACGGGUUGCGAGUGGCGGACGGGUGAGGAAUACAUCGGAAUCUACUUUUUCGUGGGGGAUAACGUAGGGAAACUUACGCUAAUACCGCAUACGACCUACGGGUGAAAGCAGGGGAUCUUCGGACCUUGCGCGAUUGAAUGAGCCGAUGUCGGAUUAGCUAGUUGGCGGGGUAAAGGCCCACCAAGGCGACGAUCCGUAGCUGGUCUGAGAGGAUGAUAGGCCACACUGGAACUGAGACACGGUCCAGACGACUACGGGAGGCAGCAGUGGGGAAUAUUGGGCAAUGGGCGGAAGCAUGAUACAGCCAUAGCGCGUGGGUGAAGAAGGCCUUCGGGUUGUAAAGCCCUUUUGUUGGGAAAGAAAAGCAGCCGGUUAAUACCACGCUGUUCUGACGGUAACCAAAGAAUAAGCACCGGCUAACUUCGUG